UACGAAGGGGGCUAGCGUUGUUCGGAAUUACUGGGCGUAAAGGGCGCGUAGGCGGCGUGUCAAGGCAGGCGUGAAAGCCCCGGGCUCAACCUGGGAACCGCGCUUGAGACUGGCAUGCUCGAGUUCGGGAGAGGAUGGUGGAAUUCCCAGUGUAGAGGUGAAAUUCGUAGAUAUUGGGAAGAACACCGAUGGCGAAGGCAGCCAUCUGGACCGACACUGACGCUGAGGCGCGAAAGCGUGGGGAGCAAACAGG
Molecule: ribosomal RNA, 253 nt
Filed under: uncultured bacterium
Lineage: Bacteria
Description: partial 16S ribosomal RNA
Rfam family: Bacterial small subunit ribosomal RNA
Source: RNAcentral